UCGUUGUGCUUGAAAACGAUUAACUUAAUAAUAGCAUUGGAAGGUUCCCAUGCCAGUCGAGUCUAUGUAACCGAAACGGACCCGGAUUUUUAUUAGGACUGUCAACUCGGCAACAUUCCUUCAAAUUACUUUAGGGAUAUUUUCUACGGUUACAACAACAACAGAAGACACUCCUAAGAUACACUUACAUAAGUGUUUCAAUCCUACAAUUAUCUCAUCAUCUACUCUAUGGUUUCCACGAGAUCAAAUUGGUUGUAGAUGUGUUUCAGCUUGUACUUUUUCAUUAUUUUUUUAUAUAUUUGAGUAUCUUCUGUAAUCGCAAUGCAAAAAAUUUGCAGAUGAAGCCUAAAUAUAUAAUGGAUUACGUUCUUUAAGCUUAAUUGAAUGUGCCACAGCUUUAGAUGCCUUUUAUGAUGUACUUCUUUAUGCUAUCCGACAAUUACCUAUAAGCCACCUGCUAAAUACUAAGGGCUGUCAAAAAUAUAUUCUAGGGCCUGACAUUGCCAGUUUCGAAAAUUGCAAAGCACGUUCAUAUACCUGCAAUGGAUACCUAUUGACCAUUCUAAAUUUUCUGAACUAAAUUAACCAAAAUUCCAUCUUCAACUUGCUUAUGUUUUAUUUGUAUCAUUACAUUCUCUCAUAAGUCUUAGCGACGCGAACAACACGGUCGUUGAUAACCUCUCGCAUUUUGUUUGCAACAAUAAAGUCCAUGUGAUUCCAAGUUGGAUCGGAUACGCGAUAAUCCUCAACUAGAUACGGCAUAUUUUUUACCAAAGUGUCGACAUCGCGAGGACCGCACAGAGCAUCGUUGGCGCUCGAGUAUAAUUGGAGAUAAUGUAUGCCCUGAUUGCUGGACGAACCGCCUGGAUGGGUCUCAAUGAGCACUUGCAUGGAAGUCUGAAAUAUCAAAAUAGAAGAUAUUAAGAUGUGACAAAUUGCUUAAGCGCCAACCGCACUUCAUCGAAUGUUAAUGCUACUGCUAUAUUUGCCAUAGCCAGCAGAAGCCCGGAGGCCAAUAUUACUUUAUUAAACUUCAUUCUUAAAUGUUCACUACACAUUAAACAAUUUUCGCUUUGGACACGUCGCUUUAUAAGCACCAAUGACUUGGCCAUGAUUUCCCGCUAUGCCACCAGCGAUAGCUUAUCUCUCAAACUUGAUUAGACAAUUUGGUAAUUUGGAAUACUUUAAUUUAUGGAUUUUCAAUGCCUAAUCCAACACAACACAAUCGCAAAUAUAUACUGCUAAGCGUUCGUUCAAUUUUAUUAUGCUUUCAAUAUACAAUACCUUAAAAAAUCUA
Bactrocera oleae (olive fruit fly) is the source of this 1297-nucleotide non-coding RNA. The record is from RefSeq and is a predicted model, not a curated record. Lineage: Eukaryota; Metazoa; Arthropoda; Insecta; Diptera; Tephritidae.